CCUACGGGUGGCUGCAGUGGGGAAUAUUGGACAAUGGGGGGAACCCUGAUCCAGCCAUGCCGCGUGUGUGAAGAAGGCCCUCGGGUUGUAAAGCACUUUCAGUGAGGAAGAACGCCUGGUGGUUAAUACCCAUCAGGAAAGACAUCACUCACAGAAGAAGCACCGGCUAACUCCGUGCCAGCAGCCGCGGUAAUACGGAGGGUGCGAGCGUUAAUCGGAAUUACUGGGCGUAAAGCGCGCGUAGGUGGCUUGAUAAGACGGUUGUGAAAGCCCCGGGCUCAACCUGGGAACGGCAUCCGGAACUGUCAAGCUAGAGUGCAGGAGAGGAAGGUAGAAUUCCCGGUGUAGCGGUGAAAUGCGUAGAGAUCGGGAGGAAUACCAGUGGCGAAGGCGGCCUUCUGGACUGACACUGACACUGAGGUGCGAAAGCGUGGGUAGCAAACAGGAUUAGAUACUCGAGUAGUC
This 465-nucleotide ribosomal RNA is filed under the name Vreelandella stevensii. RNAcentral's name for it is "partial 16S ribosomal RNA". It matches the Rfam family "Bacterial small subunit ribosomal RNA", at positions 338 to 795 of the family's 1533-position model. The record is from RNAcentral. Lineage: Bacteria; Pseudomonadati; Pseudomonadota; Gammaproteobacteria; Oceanospirillales; Halomonadaceae.